This 418-nucleotide long non-coding RNA is filed under the name Fukomys damarensis (Damara mole-rat). Its description in RNAcentral is "lncRNA (ENSFDAG00000029019.1)". The record is from RNAcentral. Lineage: Eukaryota; Metazoa; Chordata; Mammalia; Rodentia; Bathyergidae.
UAAACAUUAGGCUGAUAUUUCUGGCUCCUUCCCCUAAGCACUGUGCAUUCCUAGUGGUUUAGUCCAGCUUUUUCAAGGACAGGAGCACAAAGGGAGCACACAGGGACCUUCAGAAUCCUGAGAAGAAGAGGAAAUCUGUAUGUUCACUGUUGUCAGGUGUCCUCCAGAGUUUGGGCAGUGAGAUUGGAUAUUUGCAGUUCCACACAACAGAAAUCUGUCUUUUAAGUAAGGUGAGAAAAAUUAAGUUUCCUAAUGUUUAAGUUCGGUAGGAGUAACCUUUACUUUUGAAAAUCUGUUACCUCUUUAUUUUUGUGCAUUAAGCACCACAGAGAGCCAAAUAAGAUUAGAGACAAUUAUAUAAGAGACGGCCUUUGUCUCUAUUCCAUCUUUUCACAUGACACUCUUUCCACUUUUACCU